This 566-nucleotide small RNA is filed under the name Pan troglodytes (chimpanzee). RNAcentral describes it as "processed transcript". Lineage: Eukaryota; Metazoa; Chordata; Mammalia; Primates; Hominidae. The record is from RNAcentral.
AACUUGUUCAUACACUCUAGAGUGGGGUGCUGGCUUUGUUUUCUCCCUGCACCCUGGUUUUUGAUGCUGGACUCAGUCCAUUUAAUGGAGUGUCAGAAGGAGUGCAUCAUCGACGAGGACUGUGGGCCCAGCAAGUACUGCCAGUUUGCCAGCUUCCAGUACACCUGCCAGCCAUGCCGGGGCCAGAGGAUGCUCUGCACCCGGGACAGUGAGUGCUGUGGAGACCAGCUGUGUGUCUGGGGUCACUGCACCAAAAUGGCCACCAGGGGCAGCAAUGGGACCAUCUGUGACAACCAGAGGGACUGCCAGCCGGGGCUGUGCUGUGCCUUCCAGAGAGGCCUGCUGUUCCCUGUGUGCACACCCCUGCCCGUGGAGGGCGAGCUUUGCCAUGACCCCGCCAGCCGGCUUCUGGACCUCAUCACCUGGGAGCUAGAGCCUGAUGGAGCCUUGGACCGAUGCCCUUGUGCCAGUGGCCUCCUCUGCCAGCCCCACAGCCACAGCCUGGUGUACGUGUGCAAGCCGACCUUCGUGGGGAGCCGUGACCAAGAUGGGGAGAUCCUGCUGCC